Molecule: ribosomal RNA, 915 nt
Filed under: uncultured archaeon
Lineage: Archaea
Description: SSU rRNA
Rfam family: Archaeal small subunit ribosomal RNA
Source: RNAcentral
UUUCCGGUUGAUCCCGCCGGACCUGACUGCUAUCGGAUUGAUACUAAGCCAUGCUAGUCUUUGUAGUAAUACAAGGCAUACGGCUCAGUAACGCGUAGUCAACCUACCCUAUGGACGGGGAUAAUCUCGGGAAACUGAGCAUAAUACCCGGCAGACCACUUAUCCUGGAAUGGUUAGUGGUUAAAAUGAUUCGUCGCCAUAGGAUGGGACUGCGGCCUAUCAGCUUGUUGGUGAGGUAAUGGCCCACCAAGGCGAUUACAGGUACGGGCUCUGAGAGGAGAGGCCCGGAGAUGGGUACUGAGACAAGGACCCAGGCCCUAUGGGGCGCAGCAGGCGAGAAAACUUUGCAAUGUGCGAAAGCACGACAAGGUUAAUCCGAGUGAUUUCUGCUAAAGGAAUCUUUUGUUAGUUCUAAAAAUACUAGUGAAUAAGGGGUGGGCAAGUUCUGGUGUCAGCCGCCGCGGUAAAACCAGCACCUCAAGUGGUCAGGAGGAUUAUUGGGCCUAAAGCAUCCGUAGCCUGUUCUAUAAGUUUGCGGUUAAAUCUAUACGCUCAACGUAUAGGCUGCCGUAAAUACUGUAGAACUAGGGAGUGGGAGAGGUAGACGGUACUCGAUAGGAAGGGGUAAAAUCCUUUGAUCUAUUGAUGACCACCUGUGGCGAAGGCGGUCUACCAGAACACGUUCGACGGUGAGGGAUGAAAGCUGGGGGAGCAAACCGGAUUAGAUACCCGGGUAGUCCCAGCUGUAAACGAUGCAGACUCGGUGAUGCAAUGGCAUAGAGCUAUUGCAGUAUCGCAGGGAAGCCGUUAAGUUUGCCGCCUGGGAAGUACGUACGCAAGUAUGAAACUUAAAGGAAUUGGCGGGGGAGCACCACAAGGGGUGAAGCCUGCGGUUCAAUUGGAGUCAACGCCGGG